GCAGAUCCAACUCGCCUAUCCGUCGGAGAGGUUCGUGCGCGCCACUGGCAAGUACGGGCCGUACAGCAGCGAGAAGAACCAGGGUGUCACGGUGACGGAGCUGUCGUUCGUCACGUACAACAACAUCACCGGCACGAGCGUCACGUACGGCCCGUACGGCGGGCAUGAGAUGAGCAGCCAGACGAGCUUCCAGACGGCGGACGCGAGCGAGAUCGUGGGCUUGUAUGGAUUCACCUCGGACUACAUGCGCGGGAUUGGUUUCGCGCUCGAGCCUGCCAAGAACUAGAAACUUGGAUAUAGAUGAUUAAUCAUCAUACCAUGAAUCUAUCUAUCUACCAACCAUUGCUAAUUUACAGUUGAACUUGAGAAUGUAGCCACUGUUUCAAUAGUCUUGCGCCAAUGACGCGUAGAUGCGAUAAAUCCUCCUGAGCGAGGAGCACUUUGAGCUUGGAGCUCAUAAAGUCAAUGGAAGGCAAAAAAAAGUCCAAGAAAGUCUCUAUUAGCUUUAUUGACCUUGACAAAUUGAGUUGAGUUGAGUGCAAGUCCGUUAAUAUUGUUACUACUGUUUAUUACUUAAUCUUUUAAGGUAACUUCCAGAUAUCAGUAUGUAUCAGAUGUCAAUAUGGUUUCUGGCCUAUAUAAUUUCCUGGCGGAUCAUAGUUGCAACUAACAAGGUAAGAAUUCAUACCAUUGCACUGGACAUAAGCGCAUCCAACUCGAACAGAGUUCUUCCACACAACCUGCGUGUAGUGUCCACAGACCUUCCCUGCCGCGCAAGUGUUUGACGCAUAGUUGUAGUCGACUUGCUCGCUCACCCAGGCAGCCACAGCGUCAGUGGCGGGAGGAGCAGGCAAGCCGGGACUUCCCCACCACUUCCACAGAUUCUCGCCAUAUCUCCCACCCGAGUGGAUCAGCGCGCAGUUGUUUUGAUCCCGGAGAGUUGCCGCCCAGCUUGAUGCAAACGCGGCCACUGUAUCGUCCCAAACCAGCCCCGAGACAUUCACAGCCGACCGAGCUGCGUUGUGUGCGUCGACAAGAUCAAUCUGCUGGCUUGCUUGAAGAACAACCAAAGCAUCACAAAAGAAGAUCGCCAGAGUUGCAAAGAGGAGAGGAGAGCAAGGAGAUUUCAUGUUGCUGGGGCGAUGUUCACAAUCAAGAGCAAACUCCUACGUUUAUAUGCAAAGUCGUUGUUCUGAUCGAGUUUUUCCACUUGUGGCGCCGACUUAGCGCUUGCGAUUGUAUACGAUUUUUUGCUGUGACGGUGACCCAUGAAUCGAGUACGUUUUAGUUUGGUGCUCCAUGACUUUAGCCGCCUCUCUUUCUUCCACUGCUCGAGGAGCUUCUCUUCCGGACACCCUCUGGAUACAAAUUCAUGGAUCUUUCUUUGGCAGUUUCCUCAAGCAACUUGAAUCAUCCACAUGAAUCCAUUACCAACACUUCAGUGUUUGCGUGAACUAACUGUAUCGCACACAAAGGAUUCUAUUUUGUAUUCAAGGUGGUGGUGAUGGUCUUUAUCUUGGGAUUAAAGACUGCAAAAUAAGCAUACAAACCAUGACAGACAGCAGUUGGUCCUUGUCAGCGAUUUAAACAGCGAAGCAAACAUUCCAGGCUCAGUAAUCUAGUCUAAUCCUCGAAACCCAAGAAAAAAAACCCGUGCAAUCGCAAAUCUCUCACUUGCACAUGUUCCAAGGUUUUUGACACACUAUAUUACACUGGUUGGUGUGCCAACAUCGCCAACUUUGAGAGAUUUUAAGACACCCCAAAAGAGCAAAUCAUUCUAUCGUCUCUUUUGAAUUCAUCUUCACUUGAGUGAAUCUGAGAGAGAGGAAAGAGAAAAGUUACAGAAUUGAAAGAAAAUCUUAUAUAACACACCGGUGGGUAAUCCUGUCUUCUACUCCUAAAAAAUCUCGUUGGUCAUGUCCAGGGGUUCGAUUCCCGGCGCCGACGCCCUCGGGAGGAGGUCGCGGGGUCGAUUCCAGUGGGCGCGCCGGGAGAGUGAAGCUCUUCUUGAUCACCCCGAGGAGACCGAUCGGCUGCGCCACAGGCGAUCGCGAUCGGCGUGCGCGCCGCGGUGGUGGAAAUCGUCGUUCCGGGCCCGGGAGGGAAGAAAUUCGUCUCCACGGCGCCGUUGUGGCUGGAUUUCUUCUUCCUCUUGCGCAGCCCAAAGAAGGAGGAGAUCCAGGAGAGCUUGCCGCCGCCGCCGCUGUGGUGAUGGGGAUUCCUGGCGCCGCGAUGAUCCCUGUCGACGUGAUGAGCCACGGGCGUGGCGGAUGCCGAUACCAGGGGACUGUGAUAGGACCCGGCGGCAUUUGCCUUGCAGUUCCGCGUGGAGAAGAAUCCAUCCGCUGGAAACCCUCCUUCCCCCCCAUUUCUUGAAUCGGGAGCGGCAAAUCGAGCAAAUGUUGGUGCUGGAGCUCCGCCGCGGCGGGUGCUGCUGCUGCCACUGCGAGAGAGGAAUUCGGGAGCAGCGUGUGGCUGCUGGAAGAAUCGCCCGAGAGAGAGAGCCGGAGGAGGCGAUCCCGGAGGCACAAGUGACCGGCUGCCUCUUGCUGGGAUGAACCAAGCACACGCCUGGAUCCAUCGCCAAAUCGAUCUAGUAGCAGCUCGCGUUGGGAGGAUACCACCGAAAAAAUCCCGUCGACAUGGCCCGCCCGCGUUGUCGGUGAGCGAAUUGGGUGUGAUCGAUCUUGUUGCCAAUCUUUGUCUCGGAUCCAAAUGGACAGCCAUGGAGCGCACUUUUGGAUGGCGCCACCACGAAGCUCGAGCCAAGCAGCGGACGUGAAGGAGAAGUGGAUGUAUAUCUGCAUCCUGGCUAACCAAAGCCCAAGAACGUCAAGUUUCCGUUUCAAGUUGGAAUUUUUGGUGACCAUCCGACGGUUGCAGAGGUACUCUUGCUUUUCCCUUAACUUCGCUAAUUUUCCGUCUACAGGAUUUCAAGAUCCCUGUCUGCAAGGGGGACAUCAUUGCUUUGGGAACUGAUGGCCUUUUUGACAAUCUCUUCAAUGACGACAUAACCGAAGUUCUUAAAAAUUCUCUUGGGUCCGACCAAGUCAACUUGAAGGUGAACUCUCGCUGUUGACGAAUCUCAAGAUCGCCAGGCAGCUGCAGCAGAUCGUGUAGCUGGGGCGCAGGCCGAGCGUUUGGACAGCCCGUUUGCCAGGGCGGCUGCAAAGGCGAGAAUGAAUUGGAGCGGUGGAAAGCUAGAUGAUACCAUGGCAGUUGUGGCGUUUGUGACGUGAUAUUAAGGGUAAACUUUUCAACCAGUUUUUGCGGAGGCCAGUGGAGCAGGGCAAGAAGGCAUAAUUUGGCUCACACCACUCCUCCUUGGCAGCUUUCCUGAGCCUCAACAUGGACGGAAAUCCCACUUUGUUGACUGAUGAUCUGCUAUUGAUGAGCUGAGCAGCUGAUGCUGCCAACGAAGCAUGCAAGCAGCAUAAAGAUCGGCAAGAUGUAGCCUCUCAUUCUCAUGAUCAAAGGAUCACCCCCUGGUUGAUGGAAAAGGUAGAGUGUUAAGUCCAAAACAUGGCAUAUGCAUCAAUUGUGUAAGAUAAAGGGGAAUUCAUUUUUUAUAUGUUCUUUAUUGAUACACAAUUAGAAGUAUUAUUAAUAAUGACUUUGAAUAACAUUUUCAACAUUAAUAUCCAAAAUGAUGGGUAUAAAUUACUCCUAAAGCCAAAGACCAAUCUUCCUUUCUCUUUUGGUGUUAACACUUUGCCAAAAUACUUAAUUAUAGAUAAAAGUAACCAUGAAAUUUAUGAAUGUAUCAAAUCAUCAUUAUUGUAUAUUCAAAUUGAGCGUAUUUAUCACAAAAAGGAGUUAGUUUCUUUUUUAUUAAAGUAUAGUAAUGAGUAAAUUGAGUAAUACAAAACUCCUUGUAAUCAAGAAUCCUCAAUGCAACACUAUGUGUGGCAUUACAAGUGGCUACAAUUAUUGCACAAAAAAUAAGUUUUUCACAACACUAAAUGCUAUGGCAUUGAAGAAAAUGAACUUUGAUAUCACAUCAUCUAAGUUUAUGUUUCUUGCAUCAUCAAGUAUUUUCCCAAUGUUGCCAUUUCACAUUCACUUUCAGCCAAUAAAUGAUCCCUCAUAGCUUAUGAAGUAUUCAUAGGCUGAGAUUAAUUAACACUUUCGAUACAAGCUCCAGAAGCAAAUGCCCCAUCAAAAUGUUAACUCUCCAUAAAUUUGUUAUAAAAAGUAAAGACAAAAGUGCAUUUGUGAUUUGCUCCACAAAUAUUCAAUAAGUUUGAUUUUGAAUAUAAAGAGGAAUGUUUGAAACACUAUAUGUUUCAAUAUCAUGCCCAAGAAUUUUAGCAAAAUGUGUUAACUGCCAUACAUUUUUCCAUAAUAAUUACAUUUCUAAUGCCUAAAUCUUUUGCCAGAAGCAUAAGGAAUGAGUUUGGCAACAUAGAACUAUGCCCAAUCAAGCACCAUUGUUCAACUGUGUCAGAAUCGCUCUCUAAAAUCACUGGAAUCAUACUUUUCUAUUUUAGGGCAAAAUUACAGUUCAUGUGAAGCCUUAGCAAGCUGCUCCACGCUCAAUCUAAAGUGGGGCCGACCGACUGGAGAGUGUUAUAGCCCUCUUGGUCGGAUUCGAUGUAAACUUGCUGGGCUGGGCAUUUGUGGAUGGAUGGAUCGCUCCAUAGCAGCAGGAGAACCAGCAAAGUGGUGGAGACGGAUCGGGAUUCUAGCUGAACGCGGUCGGGACCAACAAUGCUAGAUCUGCACCGACUCACCUCAGAUUCUAGAAAUCUAGCAGCGUAGCGGCAAUGCAACCUGCGCCAUCAAUCGAUCUCCUCCACGGGCAAAUAUCUGAUAAGUAGUGGAAUAUUCUGGUUCCCGUGAAUCGUCUCGAGUGUGCCUCUUAAUCGUGUCACUUGGAAACGAGCCCAGCUCAGAAGACACACAAAUUUUUCUAGUUACGUGUUCGUCAUCUGAAAAGAGGAUUACAAGGACGACGAAAGCCAAUAUAAUAUACACUACACCCCUUUUCGUCCAACUAUGUACCUCACAUACACACAUGCUUUGUAAGUACAUUUUUUAGAAGCUUUUCAUCGACAUCGAAGGGGCCUCCUCAUAUACAUUGUCCUCAAAAUAUGUAAAGGGAAGAAAAAAAACGAAGAAGAACGCUAAUAGUAAGAGACCUGGUGUAAGCAAAAAGAUGGAUGCCCCCCUCCCUCCCCCUAAGUAGUGUUGUUGUUACAUCGUCAAUGUAGCGACUGUUUGACGACAUGCCGCAGAGGGAUUCGGUAUCGCAGGCCGCCAUGGUUGCAGCUUAUGCCCAAUGCGGGCAUCUUGAUCUUGCGACGCGAUUGUUACAGGAGAUGCCUCGGCACAACCUUCUGUGUUUGAAUGCAAUCCUCUUGGCGACCGCUACCGAGGUCCGGAUAAGCAGAGCAAGCCAGAUCUUUGAGGAAAUGCCCGAGCAAGACAUCGUUUCUUGGAGCACCAUGCUUUUGGCAUAUGCCCAGAACGGUCUCUUGGACGAAGCCAAGCAAACUUUUGGACUGAUGCCUUAGCNNNNNNNNNNNNNNNNNNNNNNNNNNNNNNNNNNNNNNNNNNNNNNNNNNNNNNNNNNNNNNNNNNNNNNNNNNNNNNNNNNNNNNNNNNNNNNNNNNNNGCAGCUGCGAGAGUCCAAGGUUUUGUUCGACGACAUGCUGGAACGCGACGUGGUUCCGUGGACUGCGAGGUCACGUCAGGCAUUCCGAAAGGCUGUUUGAGUCGCUUCCCGAACGGGACACCAUCUGCUGGAGCGCUAUGCUUGCCGCUCUUGUUCAAAACGGGCUCUACUUGGAAGCUUUUGUUGUUUUUGACGAGAUGAAGAUGGCGGGAUCAAUUGACAAGGUGUGUUUUGUAUCGAUCCUCAUUGCGGAGGGAAGGUUUCCACUGCAAAAUCGCUCUUCGUGUCGAUGAGUCUUGAUUUUGGGUUUCAACCGAGCAAGCAGCACUAUUGCUGCAUGAUCGAUGUCUUUGGGCGAGCCGGGCAUUUAGAAAAUGCGCAAGAUCUUGUGGCUAACAUGCCAUAUGUACCAGAUUCGAUUCAGUGGAGGUGCUUGUUUGGAGCAAGCCGAAGUAAAAAUGAUGCUCAACAUGGAGCUUCGGUUGCUAGGGAAAUAAUCGGACUAGAAAAAGAACAUUCUGCUUCAUAUGAGCUUUUUGCCAACUUGAUAAGGUUGUAAAUUUGCCCUUUAGUUUAAAUAAAUUGUAAAUCUAUAACUUUUACAUUUUAUUGGUAAUCUCGCCAUACAUUUUGUAAGUACCCCAAGAAUAGGUGAAUAUAACAAUGUUCUGUGUUUUCUGAAACAGGUUAUUUGGAAAAUAUUAUGGCUGGUGUGAGAGCAAUGGUGGAUUUGGGUAUAGAUCAUGUACCAAAUGAAUAUUUGACAUCCAUAUGCAAAGGCAUAACUAUCAAAGCUCCAAACAACCUCCCAAUUAUUGACUUAAGUGGCAUAGAUAGUGAUGAUUUGAAAAGAAAAUCAGCAGCUGAAGAAAUUCAUCUAGCUUGCCAAAAAUGGGGUUUUUUCCAAGUAAAUAAAUCUCUUCUGAAAUACUUUGCAAUUGUUUUAGUCAGGUCAUUGGCCAAGACAUUAUCAAAAUGGUUCAUUACUUUUUUAACUUGCUUGCCAAGGAAAUGAUGGUUUACUAUUCAAUAGAUAUCUAUAAGAGCUUCAAAUUCUCCACAGGAUCCACAUCUUACCGAUAUCUCAAACCUAAAAUACUAAUCCAAAGUAAACCACAAAGAACAUGUGGUAAUGCGAAAAGCCAAAAACCAUAAAAGAACAAUUAACUAUCAUAAAAGAUUAUCAAUUUUCAUAGCAAAUGCAAGUAAAAAGUUUUGAACCGACUAUUUGUUCCAGCACUGUAGGCCAGCAGUUCACGAGGAUGAUGUACCAGAAUGUAUUCCAAAUUACAAGUACAAACUUUCCUUUAACAGAUCUCUUUUUUUUUUCUCUGUUUUAACACUAUAUAUUAAUUAUAACAAAGGAAAAUUACAAGCAAUUACGCCAAGGCUGUGGACAAACUUGCCAGAAAACUAUUGCGAAUUAUUGCUCAAAACCUUGGUCUAGAUUGGCAGAUCCUGGAGAGACACUUGGAUCCUCCCAAGCAAACCAUGAAGAUGACAUAUUAUCCACAGUGUCCAUGCCCUGAUCAAGCAAUUGGUAUAGGUUGUCAUGCUGAUCCAGGAACCAUAACGGUAUUACAACAAGAACUUGGAGUUGAGGGCCUUGAGGUUAACUACAAUGGCCAAUGGAUUCCUGUGAAGCCAGUUGAAGGCGCAUUAGUCAUUAAUGUAGCAGACAUGCUCCAGGUGAAAUAAUUUGAUGACAUUUUCUAUGAGCUCUUAGUUUCCCUCUUACAGAUACUAAGCAACAAUAAAUAUAAGAGUACGGAGCAUUGAGUUCUAGUGAACACUAAGAAGCCACGAGUUUCAAUUGCUUCAUUUUAUGGUCCUACAGAUGAUAAACAUAUUGCCCCACUGGAGGAGUUGCUAGGUGACAAUCCUCCCAUGUUCAAAGCAUGCUUGUUCAGAGAGUACAUGGACAGCUUCUACAAGAACCACCUUGGGACGCGAAACAUUGAGACACUCAGAAUCCUAAACAACUGAUUAUAGGAAACAUAUUGUCAUGAUAAUACAUUAAUCCGAUCCUAAUAUCAUUAAUACUACUAAGGCUGACAUGACUGUGGCAUUCCAUCUGAAAGCUGUUUUACAACAGAGUUCGUGCAGUUCAUAUACCAUAUUCCUUCACGGGACUCUUGUUUGCAUGUUUCUGUCCAAGAAGGCUGUAUGAUCAUAGACAAAGCAAAGGCUGCACAACAUUUCCCGUCUACACAAGGAGUUUCUUCUUCUCUUGGUAGCAGUCGAUUAUAGCAAGGGAGAGAGUUUCAGAGCUGUGCAAUGGGUGCAUUGUUGAGAUCCUUCGUUGUUCUCCUGGUAUACAGAUUAGCUCAUUACUCCACUCCAUUGAUGUUUCUUCGAUCCAUUCCCAGUGAUGAAUUUUGUUGUUUUCUCGUAGCUUGUCGUCGUCGCGGUGGAAGCGCGCUCCUGGUCUCCGCUCUACGGCACCAACGCGGGUGUGAGAUUCAACGACACGAGUUCUUCCUCGGCGAUCAAAACUCUCACCGGAAUCCGCGUACGCUACGGCUGGGUGAUCGACGGCAUCCAGGGACAAUACACCACCGGCAGCUCUUCAACCUGGAUGCCUAACCACGGCACAACCACGCAAUUCACAGAGGUCAGUGGCCCAAAAGAACCAAAAUGACCGUUUCUAAUUUCAAUCAUUCCAUUCCAUGACGCAGAUCCAACUCGCCUAUCCGUCGGAGAGGUUCGUGCGCGCCACUGGCAAGUACGGGCCGUACAGCAGCGAGAAGAACCAGGGUGUCACGGUGACGGAGCUGUCGUUCGUCACGUACAACAACAUCACCGGCAAGAGCGUCACGUACGGCCCCUACGGCGGGCAUGCGAUGAGCGGCCAGAAGAGCUUCCAGACGCCGGACGCGAGCGAGAUCGUGGGCUUGUAUGGAUUCACCUCGGACUACAUGCGCGGGAUUGGUUUCGCACUCGAGCCUACCAAGAACUAGAAACUUGGCAUCAUGCCAUGAAUCUAUCUAUCUACCUACUGUUGUUGAUCUACAGUUGAAUUUGAGAAUGUAACCUCUGUUUCAUCAGUCUUGCGCCGAUGACGCUCGUAGAUGUAAUAAAUCCUCCAAAUACACUUUUGAUAAAAAAAAGUCAGUGGAAGUCAAAUAAUGGUUACACUCUGGGAAUUCGCUCGCCAGAGUUCCCACCGAUACACCACUUCGAGUCCAAAAGCCCAUUCGUUCAAUCCAGAGAGGAUUAUGACUGGAUCAAUAUACCCCCCCCCUCCCGGAUUGGUGGACUUACCAUGUUAUUGACCUUGACAAAUUGUGUUAUGAAUUGAAUAUUUACUAAUUCUUUCACAUAAACCAUGUCAAUAUGGUUUCUGGCCUAUAUAAUUUCCUGGUGGAUCAUAGUUGCAACUAACAAGGUAAGCAUUCAUACCAUUGCACUGGACAUAAGCGCAUCCAACUCGAACAGAGUUCUUCCACACAACCUGCGUGUAGUGUCCACAGACCUUCCCCGCCGCGCAAGUGUUUGACGCAUAGUUGUAGUCGGCUCGCUCGUUCACCCAGGCAGCCACAGCGUCAGUGGCGGGAGGAGCAGGCAAGCCGGGACUUCCCCACCACUUCCACAGAUUCUCGCCAUAUCUCCCACCCGAGUGGAUCAGCGCGCAGUUGUUUUGAUCCCGGAGAGUUGCCGCCCAGCUUGAUGCAAACGCGGCCACUGUAUCGUUCCAAACCAGCCCCGAGACAUUCACAGCCGAUCGAGCUGCGUUGUGUGCGUCGACAAGGUCACUCUGCUGGCUUGCUCGAAGAACAACCAAAGCAUCACAAAAGAAGAUCGCCAGAGUUGCAACGAGGAGAGGAGAGAAGGGAGAUUUCAUGUUGCUGGGGUGAUGUUCACAAUCAAGAGCAAACUCUUACGUUUAUAUGCAAAGUCGUUGUUCUGAUCGAGUUUUUCCACUUGUGGCGCCGACUUAGCGCCUGCGAUUGUAUACGAUUUUUUGCUGCGACGGUGACCCAUGAAUCGAGUACGUUUUAGUUUGGUGCUCCAUGACUUUAGCCGCCUCUUUUUCUUCCACUGCUCGAGGAGCUUCUCUUCUGGACACCCUCUGGAUACAAAUUCAUGGAUCUUUCUUUGGUAGUUUCCUCAAGCAACUUGAAUCCUCCACAUGAAUCCAUUACCAGCACUUCAGUGUUUGCGUGAACUAACUGUCUCCCAAAAAAUCUCACAAAGGAUUCUAUUUUGUAUUCAAGGUGGUGGUGAUGGUCUUUAUCUUGGGAUUAAAGACUGCAAAAAUAAGCGACAGCAGUUGGUCCUUGUCAGCGAUUUAAACAGUGAAGCAAACAUUCCAGGCUCAGUAAUCUAGUGUAAUCCUCGAAACCAAAGAAAAAAAAUCCGUGCAAUCGCGAAUCUCUCACUUGCACAUGUUCCAUCCACCCCAAAGGUUUAUGACACAUUAUAUACACUGGUUGGUGUGCCAACAUCGCCAACUUUGAGAGAUUUUAAGACACCCCAAAAGAGCAAAUCACUCCAUCGUCUCUUUUGAAUGAGUGAAUCCCAGAGAGAGGAAAGAGAGAAGUUACAGAAUGUGAGAAAAUCUUAUAUCACACACCGGUGGGUAGUCCUGGCUUGUACUCCACAAAAAUCUCCUUAAUGGGGCUCAAUCUGUACAGCUUUGUUUUUGUUCUUCCAUCAUUAAUCUCAAACUUUUCUCAAAUCUCUUCCAGUGUGAAGCUUCACAAAACGAAAAAAAGAAGAAUUACAUUAGAGCCAUCAAUCCUAAAUGCGAAGUAAGCCUCGACACGAUUGAUCCAAGUCACUGUUUGAUCCGAUCUCGCGUAUUUUUUGCGUUUAAUCUCAGCGUCCCUCCUCAGCGGAGUUAGAAUCCCCAGUCACUGUUACCGUUACCGCUAACAUGGGCCGUCGGAUUUGCCAGCACGGACGACGGCGAUUCGUUCCGUGUCACGGGCUGGCACACGUGGCGGCCGCGCACUUGCGGUCGAUGUCCAUCAAGGACGCCACGCUGGACCUCGACCCCCGCUGCCCUCCACGUCAUACGCCGCGUUGGUAAUCACCUCCCUCAUGUCCAGCGCGAUGAGCGAGGCCACCCGGGGUUCGAUUCCCGGCGCCGACGCCCUCGGGGGCUCCAAGGAGGAGGUCGCGGGGUCGAUUCCAGUGGGCGUGCCGGGAUGGUCGAGUGGAGGAUCCCCUAGAGGAGUGAAGCUCGUCUUGAUCACGCGCCCGGAGGAGACCGAUCGGCUGCGCCACAGGCGAUCGCAAUCGGCGUGCGCGCCGCGGUGGUGGAAAUCGUCGUUCCAGGCCUCGGGAGGGAAGAAAUUCGUCUCCACGGCGCCGUUGUGGCUGGAUUUCUUCUUCCUCUUGCGCAGCCCAAAGAGGGAGGAGAUCCAGGAGAGCUUGCCGCCGCCGCCGCUGUGGUGAUGGGGAUUCCUGGCGCCGCGAUGAUCCCUGUCAACGUGAUGAGCCACGGGCGUGGCGGAUGCCGAUACCAGGGGACUCUGAUAGGACCCGGCGGCAUUUGCCUGGCAGUUCCGCGCGGAGGAGAAUCCAUCCCCGAAUCGGGAGCGGCGAAUCGCGCGAACGCUGGAUCCUUGGUGCUGGAGCUCCGCCGCGGCGGGUGCUGCUGCUGCCACUGCGAGAGAGAUUUGGACCUGGGAAGACACGAUGGAACGGUCUUGGAGCACGAGGAGGAAUCGAAGGAGCUCCUGGAGGAGGAGGAAUUCGGGAGGAGCGUGUUGGAAGAAUCGCCCGAGAGAGAGAGCCGGACGAGGACAAACCCCCACCGGCUGCCUCUUGCUGGGAUGAACCAAGCACACGCCUGGAUCCAUCGCCAAAUCGAUCUAGUAGCAGCUCGCGUUGGGAGGAUACCACCGCAAAAAUCCCGUCGGUGAGUGAAUUGGUGAUCGAUCUUGUUGCCAAUCUUUGUCUCGAGUCUCCAGGAUCCAAAUGGACAGCCAUGGAGCGCACUUUUGGAUGGCGCCACCACGAAGCUCGAGCCAAGCAGCGGAUGUGCGACAAGGAAUGGUUCGUCCAAAUGGUGGCCACUUGUGACACCACCACGCAGCUGUGGGCGAAUGCGCAAAAUCUCCGGGUAAGAAUAGGAUUUCUCGAUCGAAUUCUUGGUUUUUUCGUUUUAGCUUCUCUCAAUUUUCCAGGAUCGCAAGCUUUGGAGCAUGGGGUGGCUCCAGCGAUCCGAGUUCUCCGACCUUUUCGGGGCCCAAAUGCCGGGCGUGCAAGGGGCAGGGGAAGAUCUGUGAUGGAUCGUCCAUGAGCAACAGCAAGGAGCUCCAGAUCAUGGAUGUGUGACUGAUAGUGUGUUGAUAGUGUGCCCAAAAUCUAGCCUGGCGCCAGCACCAUGGUUCUUACGAUUGAACCAUAGCUGUGCAAUAAAAGGUAUCUCCACCUAAUAGAGAGCUCUUGGCUUGGUCAAUUAAAGCUUGGAUCUCUGCUUUAGUAGGAGACUUGGCUAGCCAGAGAAGCAUGUUGUCCAAAGACGUUUUGUUUUAGCGUCCUAAAAACAUCCAUUUCUACUCUGGAUCCAUCGGCUCGUUGUAAAUCCCUACAUGUCGCUUGAAGGAGAAGUCACCGUUCCUGGAUAUAAUAUUAAUCUCAAAUAAGUUUAACCAAAGCCCCGUCAACUUUCCGUUUCAAGUUGGAACUUUUGGUGACCAUCCGACGGUUGCAGAUGCUUUUCCCUUAACUUCGCUAAUUUUCCGUCUACAUGUCUGCAAGGACAUCAUUGUUUUGGGAACUGAUGGCCUUUUUUCACAAUCUCUUCAACGACGACAUAAUCGAAGUUCUUACAAAAUCUCUUGGGUCCGACCAAGUCAACAUGAAGGUGAACUCUCGCUGUUGAAGAAUCUCAACCUGAUCAUUGAUAAACUCUUCACUUUACAGGCAGCUGCAGCAGACCUUGUAGCUGGGGCGCAGGCCGAGCGUUUGGACAGCCCGUUUGACGUGAUAUUUGGGUCGCGAAGGGUAAACUUUUCAAGCAGUUUUUGCGGAGGCCAGUGUCAGGCCGUUGAUUUUUGCGGAGGCCAAUUCGGCUCACACGACUCCUCCUUGGCAGCUUUCCUGAGCCUCAACACGGACGGAAAUCCCGCCUUGUCGACCGAUGAUCCGCUACUGACGAGCUGAGCGGCCGCCGCUGCCAAGGAAAAGCAUGCGAGCAGCACAAAGAUCGGCAAGAUGUAGCCUCUCGCCCUCAUGAUCGAAGGGUAACCCCCUGGUCGAUGGAAAAGGUAUCCCUGUGGCGCGGAGCUCUAGAUCUGCGCCGACUCACCUCGGAUUCUAGAAAUCUAGCAGCGUAGCCGCAAUGCACCCGGCGCCAUUGAUUGAUCGAUCUCCUCCGCGGGCAAAUAUCUGAUAAGUAGUGGAAUAUUCUGGUUCCAGUGAAUCUAGGCCGUCCGUCCUGGCUAGCGCUGAGCUAAUCGUGUCACUUGGAAACGAGCCCAGCUGAGAAGACACACAAAUUUUUCUAGUUACGUGGUGUUCGUCAUCUCGAGACACUGAAAAGAGGACUACAAGGACGACGAAAGCCAAUAUAAUAUAAACUACACCCUUUUCGUCCAAUUAUGUACACAUACUUUGUUAAAAGCUUUUCAUCGACAUCGAAGGGGCCUCCCGGAAGAAAAAAACGAAGAAGAACGCUAAUAGUAAGAGACCUGGUGUAAGCAAAAAGAUGGAUGCCCCCCUUGUUGUUACAUCGUCAAUGUAGCGACUGUUUGACGACAUGCCGCAGAGGGAUUCGGUAUCGCAGACCGCCAUGGUUGCAGCUUAUGCCCAAUGCGGGCAUCUUGAUCUUGCGACGCCAUUGUUACAGGAUUGUUGGAACGCAAUCCUCGCGGCGACCGCUGCUGAAGGCCGGAUAAGGAGAGCAAGCCAGAUCUUUGAGGAAAUGCCCGAGCAAGACAUCGUUUCUUGGAGCACCAUGCUUUCGGCAUAUGCCCACAACUGUCUCUUGGACGAAGCCAAACAAACUUUUGGACCGAUGCCUCAGCACAACUCCACGUCUUCGACAGCCAUGCUUGCGUCGUAUGCGCAGCACAAGCAGCUGCGAGAGUCCAAGGUUUUGUUCGACAACAUGCUGGAACGCGACGUGGUUUCGUGGACUGCGAUGCUCGCAGCGUAUGCUCACAAUGGUCACGUCAGGCAUUCCGAAAGGAGUGCUGCUUGCUCGGUUGAAACCCAAAAUCAAGACUCAUCGACACGAAGAGCGAUUUUGCAGUGGAAACCUUCCCUCCCUGGCUGCAAGCAAUGAGGAUCGAUACAAAACACACCUUGUCAAUUGAUCCCGCCAUCUUCAUCUCGUCAAAAACAACAAAAGCUUCCAAGUAGAGCCCGUUUUGAACAAGAGCGGCAAGCAUAGCGCUCCAGCAGAUGGUGUCCCGUUCGGGAAGCGACUCAAACAGAUUGCUGCAUGAUCGAUGUCUUUGGGCGAGCCGGGCAUUUGGAAAAUGCGCAAGACCUUGUGGCUAACAUGCCAUAUGUACCAGAUUCGAUUCAGUGGAGGUGCUUGUUUGGAGCAAGCCGAACUAACAAUGAUGUUCAACAUGGAGCUUCGGUUGCUAGGGAAAUAAUCGGACUAGAUCAUUCUGCUUCAUAUGAGCUUUUUGCCGACUUGAUAAGGUUGUAAAUUUUUUAUUUAUCCGUCCUUAAGGCCUUUAGUUUAAAUAAAUUGUAAAUCUAUAACUUUAGUUUAAACAUAACUAACCUCUAUUCUUGGGAUACUUACAAAAUGUAUGGCGAGAUUACCAAUAAAAUGUAGUGAAUAUAACAAUGUUCUGUGUUUUCUGAAACAGGUUACUUGGAAAUAUUAUGGCUGGUGUGAGAGCAAUGGUGGAUUUGGGUAUAGAUCAUGUACCAAAUGAAUAUUUGACAUCCAUAUGCAAAGGCAUAACCAUCAAAGCUCCAAACAACCUCCCAAUUAUUGACUUAAGUGGCAUAGAUAAUGAUGAUUUGAAAAGAAAAUCAGCAGCUGAAGAAAUCCAUCUAGCUUGCCAGAAAUGGGGUUUUUUCCAGGUAAGUAAAUCUCUUCUGAAAUACUUUGCAAAUUGUUCUAGUCAGGUCAGCGGCCAUGGGAUAUCUAACGAGCUUAUGCAAGACAUCAUCAAAAUAGUCCAUUACUUUUUUAACUUGCCUGCCAAGGAAAGGAUGGUUUAUUACUCAACAGAUAUCUACAAGAGCUUUAGAUUCUCCACAGGAUCCAUAGCAAGUGCAAAGAAAAAGUUUUGGAGCGACUAUUUGUUCCAGCACUGUCAGCCAGCAGUUCACGAGGAUGAUGUACCAGAAAGUAUUCCAAAUUACAGGUACAAACUUUCCUUUCACAUGUCUUUUUAUUUUACUUUUUUCUGUUUUAACACUAUAUAUUCAUUAUAACAAAGGAAAAUUACAAGCAAUUACGCCAAGGCUGUGGACGAACUUGCCAGAAAACUAUUGCGAAUUAUUGCUCAAAACCUUGGUCUAGAUUGGCAGAUCCUGGAGAAACACUUGGAUCCUCCCAAGCAAACCAUGAAGAUGACAUAUUAUCCACAGUGUCCAUGCCCUGAUCAAGCAAUUGGUAUAGGUUGUCAUGCUGAUCCAGGAACCAUAACGGUAUUACAACAAGAACUUGGAGUUGAGGGCCUUGAGGUUAACUACAAUGGCCAAUGGAUUCCUGUGAAGCCAGUUGAAGGCGCAUUAGUCAUUAAUGUAGCAGACAUGCUCCAGGUGAAAUAAUUUGAUGACAUUUUCUAUGAGCUCUUAGUUUCCCUCUUACAGAUACUAAGCAACAAUAAAUAUAAGAGUGCGGAGCAUCGAGUUCUAGUGAACACUAAGGGGCCACGAGUUUCAAUUGCUUCAUUUUAUGGUCCUACAGAUGAUAAACAUAUUGCCCCACUGGAGGAGUUGCUAGGUGACAAUCCUCCCGUGUUCAAAGCAUGCUUGUUCAGAGAGUACAUGGACAACUUCUACAAGAACCACCUUGGGACGCGAAACAUUGAGACGCUCAAAAUCCUAAACAACUGAUUAUAGGAAAUUUAUUGUCAUGAUAAUACAUUAAUCCGAUCCUAAUAUGAUUAAUACUACUAAGGCUGGCAUGACUGUCUGAAAGCUGUCUUACGACAGAGUUCGUGCGGUUUAUUUACCGUAUUCCUUCAUGGGGCUCUUGUUUGCAUGCUGCUGUCCAAGAAGGCUGCACAAGAAAAGCCAAAGUUCUAAGGCUGCACAACUCUUCCGUCUAUACAAGGAGUUUCUUCUUCUCUUGGUAGCGAUCGAUUAUAGCAAGGGAGAGAAGUUUCAGAGUUGUGCAAUGGCUGCAUUGUUGAGAUCCUUUGUUGUUCUCCUGGUAUACAUAUUAGCUCAUUUUUCCAAUGAUGUUUCUGUGAUGAAUUCUUUUGUUUUGUCGUAGCUUGUCGUCGUCACGGUGGAAGGGCGCUCCUGGUCUCCGCUCUACGGCACCAACGCGGGAGUGGGAUUCAACGACAUGAGUUCUUCCUCGGCGAUCAAAACUCUCACCGCAAUCCGCGUACACUACGGCUGGGUGAUCGACGGCAUCCAGGGACAAUACGCCACCGGCAGCUCUUCAACCUGGAUGGCUAACCACGGCACAACCACGCAAUUCACAGAGGUCAGUCUCCCAAAAGAACCAAAAUGAGCAGUUUUCUCUUCUCCUAAUCAUUCCCUUCCAUGACGCAGAUCCAAGUCGCCUAUCCGUAUGAGAGGUUCGUGCGCGCCACCGGCAAGUACGGGCCAUACAGCAGCGAGCAGAACCAGGGGGUCACGGUGACGGAGCUGUCGUUCGUCACGUACAACAACAUCACCGGGAAGAGCGUCACGUACGGCCCGUACGGCGGGCAUGAGAUGAGCGGCCAGACGAGCUUCCAGACGGCGGACGCGAGCGAGAUCGUGGGCUUGUAUGGAUUCACCUCUGACUACAUGCGCGGGAUUGGUUUUGCGCUCGAGCCUUAGAAACUUGGAUAUAGAUGAUUAAUCAUCAUGCCAUGAAUCUAUCUAUCUACC
RNAcentral lists this long non-coding RNA (16597 nucleotides) under Selaginella moellendorffii. RNAcentral's name for it is "long non-coding RNA (SMOE_LNC000937)". The record is from RNAcentral. Lineage: Eukaryota; Viridiplantae; Streptophyta; Lycopodiopsida; Selaginellales; Selaginellaceae.